GAAUUAUUUAAGAAAUGAAAAAACUGUCUAAGGCUUUUUACCUUCACCAUACCUGGGAUCGGUAAGACUAGGAAUUGGAGCGUAAAAAAAUCGCAAAAGCGUAUCGAACAACUAUGUUUUACUCGAACUAAAUAAUUAUGUAAAAACGGACGCACUUAUAUCGACUCGUCUUGUACCAUGGCACGCAAAGCUGUACAGAAGGAGAGGGCGUUGGACACGAACUGAAAUGACAUCAACUUGUUAUUUAUAUAUAUAACAUUCGUAAUUAACCUGUUAAUCAGAGAAAGGUAUUGUAAUCGUUAUUCGAAUUGGUAAUCCCUCGAACAUAAUACCUUUAUUUAGGGCUCUAUAUAUUUUUGUAUGCUUUCCGUCAAACUCUAAUUACAUAUGCGACGUUUACAUUUGCAGUGUCGAAAACCGAAUAAGAUGAAUUUAGUAAGCUUUAAUAUUAUGAUCGUAGGAGUCUUCUGUUCAAUGACUACCUGAUUAACAGGUUAAUUCGUUCCCUUCACAGUUUCUUCUCUGCGGACCAGUGCAUAUUAUAUAUUUAUAUCCAAGCAGAGAAUAAGAAUGCAAAGAAAUAUAAAAAUAUA
This is a long non-coding RNA of Bombus huntii, 593 nucleotides long. RefSeq lists it as uncharacterized. Lineage: Eukaryota; Metazoa; Arthropoda; Insecta; Hymenoptera; Apidae. The record is from RefSeq and is a predicted model, not a curated record. The transcript has 2 exons.